This is a small nuclear RNA of Phodopus roborovskii (desert hamster), 106 nucleotides long. Lineage: Eukaryota; Metazoa; Chordata; Mammalia; Rodentia; Cricetidae. The record is from RefSeq and is a predicted model, not a curated record.
GUACUCCCUUCAGCAGCACAUAUGCUAAAAAUGGAAUGAUACAAGAAGAUUAGCAUGGCCUUUAGGCAAGGAUGACAUGCAAAUUCAUGAAGUGUUCCAUAUUUUU